GGGUGGACAGGUGGUGGCAUGGUUGUCGUCAGCUCGUGUCGUGAGAUGUUGGGUUAAGUCCCGCAACGAGCGCAACCCUCGACCUUAGUUGCCAGCAUUCAGUUGGGCACUCUAAGGUGACUGCCGGCUAAAAGUCGGAGGAAGGUGGGGAUGACGUCAAAUCAUCAUGCCCCUUAUGACCUGGGCUACACACGUGCUACAAUGGGCGGUACAAAGGGUCGCGAACCCGCGAGGGGGAGCCAAUCCCAAAAAGCCGCUCUCAGUUCGGAUUGCAGGCUGCAACUCGCCUGCAUGAAGCCGGAAUCGCUAGUAAUCGCGGAUCAGCAUGCCGCGGUGAAUACGUUCCCGGGCCUU
RNAcentral lists this ribosomal RNA (354 nucleotides) under uncultured Anoxybacillus sp. RNAcentral's name for it is "bacterial SSU rRNA". It matches the Rfam family "Bacterial small subunit ribosomal RNA", at positions 1028 to 1382 of the family's 1533-position model. Lineage: Bacteria; Bacillati; Bacillota; Bacilli; Caryophanales; Anoxybacillaceae. The record is from RNAcentral.